This is a long non-coding RNA of Phymastichus coffea, 401 nucleotides long. RefSeq lists it as uncharacterized. Lineage: Eukaryota; Metazoa; Arthropoda; Insecta; Hymenoptera; Eulophidae. The record is from RefSeq and is a predicted model, not a curated record. The transcript is spliced from 3 exons.
CGGAUGUGUAUAUAAGUAUUUGGAAUAAUAUAGAUUUACAAGUUAUUUAAUCUCAUUUGCAUUUGUAUUGGUUAUCAACUAUUUAAUCUCCAUUGAAAGUACUGAAUAUUUUUAUUUAAGCAGCUGUAUAUCUGGUUCCACAGCUGCAAAUUGUGAAUUGCAAAUACAUCAUAUUUUGUUUUUGAAGAGUACAUUUCUUUCUAAGUAAGGAAAAAAAUCUUUUUUGGAUUGUAGAUACUAAAAAUUAUAUUCCAUUCUGUUGCAUUGUUUCUUAUGGUUCUACAUUUAUUUAAGUAUUAUAGUACCUGACAUUAAUAUACUUUUUAAUGUAUGUAUGUUAUGUAAUUGAUUAUAACUUAAAAAUUUUAUAGUUUUUUAUUUACAUCGUAAUUGUUUUGUAU